Molecule: long non-coding RNA, 1070 nt
Filed under: Piliocolobus tephrosceles (Ugandan red Colobus)
Lineage: Eukaryota; Metazoa; Chordata; Mammalia; Primates; Cercopithecidae
Description: lncRNA (ENSPTEG00000016851.1)
Source: RNAcentral
GCACUACCAAAUUUGGGAGUAAAAAAGAAAACUAUAUUACCUACAAAUGUAUUUUUAUGACAAAACUAAAAAAAAAUGCAAAGUACAUUUUAUAGAUGUGGAAUUGGAAGUAUUCAUAUUUGGUUGCUUCUUGUACACCUGGGAUAAAUUACUAUCAAAUAAUAUUAAACAGGAAAAAAAACGAAAUGAUGAAAAUAAAAAAAAAACUAAUGAUAAAAAUUAUAAUUAUUCUGCAAGUAAUAAAAAAAUAAGUAGUUAUGGGAAUGACAUCAACAAGGAGGCCACUAUCACUAGUACUGCGACUAUUUCCCGUACAAAUAAAACCUUAUCCCAUUUUAAACAUAACAGCGCAAAGAAUUACUCAAACGAAAAUAUUAACAGAAUAAAUAAAUGUAAUAAGGAUAAAGUGAAUAAUAUAAAAUCGUACUUUAAAAAUAGACGCACUUUUUAUGAUGCUAAUUGUCAAAAAGUAUCUUACAAUUUUAAUGAAAAAUUUAUAAAAAAAUAUAAAAUAAAUACUAAUAAAUUAAAUAAAAAGUUAUUAUAUUUUAUAGAAACCAGUUUCUGCCUGAACAAUAACUUUCAUAUAUUUUAUAAUUUAUAUAAAUCUUAUAGGUAUAUAAAAGAAAAAAAAAAAAAUAAAAUAGUUAAAUUAUAUGAUCAUUUUUUUAAAUACAACAGUAGUAACGUAUGCAGUGGUAAGAUAAUUAGUAACGAAAACACCAAUAGGAUAUAUAACCCUAUCAAUAAACAAGCAGGCAUGCGAAAAAAUGUGUGCAAAACAAAUAAUAAUUGUAUAUUCUGUGAUAUGAUUUUAAACAAAGAAAAAAAAAAGAAUCACUCAAAAUUUAAAAAAUUUAUUCAUGUAUGUAAAGACAAAUUGUUCAGCAAUAAGCAUUUUAACAUGUUAAAAAUGUGUAUUAUAAAUAUAAAAACAUUCGAUGAUAAUUUAAUUCAUUCUAUAUUUUUAGAACGCUUGUUUAACUAUAUAUAUACAAAUAGUGACACAAGUUUAUUUUUCUUUUGGUUUUAUUUUUUAAACAUUUUGUUGAAUGUUACUAUUAAUAAAC